RNAcentral lists this ribosomal RNA (465 nucleotides) under uncultured bacterium. RNAcentral describes it as "partial 16S ribosomal RNA". It matches the Rfam family "Bacterial small subunit ribosomal RNA", at positions 28 to 507 of the family's 1533-position model. The record is from RNAcentral.
GACGAACGCUGGCGGCGUGCUUAACACAUGCAAGUCGAACGGAAAGGCCCUGCUUGCAGGGUACUCGAGUGGCGAACGGGUGAGUAACACGUGGGUGAGCUGCCCUGCACUUUGGGAUAAGCCUGGGCAACUGGGUGUAAUUACGGGUAGGAGGCAUUUUUAGUGUGAUGGUUGGAAAGUUUUUUUGGUUUUGGAUGAGCUCGCGGCCUAUCAGCUUGGUGGUGGGGUAAUGGGCUACCAAGGCGGCGACGGGUAGCCGGCCUGAGAGGGUGGACGGCCACAUUGGGACUGAGAGACGGCCCAGACUCCUACGGGAGGCAGCAGUGGGGAAUAUUGCACAAUGGGCGCAAGCCUGAUGCAGCGACGCCGCGUGGGGGAUGACGGCCUUCGGGUUGUAAACUCCUUUCGCUAGGGACGAAGCUUUUUGUGACGGUACCUAGAUAAGAAGCACCGGCUAACUACGUG